This 305-nucleotide ribosomal RNA is filed under the name uncultured bacterium. Its description in RNAcentral is "bacterial SSU rRNA". It matches the Rfam family "Bacterial small subunit ribosomal RNA", at positions 338 to 660 of the family's 1533-position model. The record is from RNAcentral.
CCUACGGGAGGCAGCAGUGGGGGAUAUUGCACAAUGGAGGAAACUCUGAUGCAGCGACGCCGCGUGAGGGAAGACGGUCUUCGGAUUGUAAACCUCUGUCUUUGGGGAAGAAAAUGACGGUACCCAAAGAGGAAGCUCCGGCUAACUACGUGCCAGCAGCCGCGGUAAUACGUAGGGAGCGAGCGUUAUCCGGAUUUACUGGGUGUAAAGGGAGCGUAGGCGGUUUAGCAAGUCAGAAGUGAAAGCCCGGGGCUCAACUCCGGGACUGCUUUUGAAACUGUUGAACUAGAUUGCAGGAGAGGUAA